AUUGAACGCUGGCGGCAGGCCUAACACAUGCAAGUCGAGCGAGCGGCGGACGGGUGAGUAAUGUAUGGGGACUGCCCGAUCGAGGGGGAUAACUACUGGAAACGGUAGCUAAUACCGCAUACUAUCGGAUAACCCAUAUGGGAUUAGCUAGUAGGUGAGGUAAGGGCUCACCUAGGCGACGAUCCCUAGCUGGUCUGAGAGACAUAUCAGCAAAACUGGGACUGGGACACGGCCCAGACUCCUACGGAGGCAGCAGUGGGGAAUAUUGGACAAUGGGCGCAAGCCGGAUGCAGCCAUGCCGCGUGUAUGAAGAAGGUCCUAGGGUUGUAAAGUACUUUCAGUCGGGAGGCGUUACCGACAGAAGAAGCACCGGCUAACUCCGUGCCAGCAGCCGCGGUAAUUC
RNAcentral lists this ribosomal RNA (403 nucleotides) under uncultured bacterium. Its description in RNAcentral is "partial 16S ribosomal RNA". It matches the Rfam family "Bacterial small subunit ribosomal RNA", at positions 30 to 526 of the family's 1533-position model. The record is from RNAcentral.